CCUACGGGAAGCAGCAGUGAGGAAUAUUGGUCAAUGGGAGAGAUCCUGAACCAGCCAAGCCGCGUGAGGGAAGACGGCCCUAUGGGUUGUAAACCUCUUUUGUCGGAGAACAAAACCCGGGACGUGUCCCGGACUGCGUGUAUCCAAGAAAAAGCAGCGGCGAACUCCGUGCCAGCAGCCGCGGUAAUACGGAGGAUGCGAGCGUUAUCCGGAUUUAUUGGGGUUAAAGGGUGCGUAGGCGGUCCGUUAAGUCAGCGGUAAAAUUGCGGGGCUCCACCCCGUCGAGCCGUUGAAACUGGCAGACUUGAGUUGGCGAGAAGUACGCGGAAUGCGCGGUGUAGCGGUGAAAUGCAUAGAUAUCGCGCAGAACUCCGAUUGCGAAGGCAGCGUACCGGCGCCAGACUGACGCUGAGGCACGAAAGCGUGGGGAUCGAACAGGAUUAGAUACCCGAGUAGUC
This 458-nucleotide ribosomal RNA is filed under the name uncultured bacterium. RNAcentral describes it as "partial 16S ribosomal RNA". It matches the Rfam family "Bacterial small subunit ribosomal RNA", at positions 338 to 795 of the family's 1533-position model. The record is from RNAcentral.